Molecule: ribosomal RNA, 455 nt
Filed under: uncultured bacterium
Lineage: Bacteria
Description: bacterial SSU rRNA
Rfam family: Bacterial small subunit ribosomal RNA
Source: RNAcentral
UACGGAAGGCAGCAGUGGGGAAUAUUGCACAAUGGGCGAAAGCCUGAUGCAGCUAUGCCGCGUGUAUGAAGAAGGCCUUAGGGUUGUAAAGUACUUUCAUCGGGGAGGAAAAAACAAAACUAAUAAUUUUAUUUCUUGACGUUACCCGAAAAAGAAGCACCGGCUAACUCCGUGCCAGCAGCCGCGGUAAUACGGAGGGUGCUAGCGUUAAUCAGAAUUACUGGGCGUAAAGAGCACGUAGGUGGUUUUUUUAAGUCAGAUGUGAAAUCCCUGGGCUUAACCUGGAACUGCAUUUUGAAACUGAAAUACUAGAGUAUUGUAGAGGGAGGUAGAAUUCUAGGUGUAGCGGUGAAAUGCGUAGAUAUCUGGAGGAAUACCUGUGGCGAAAGCGGCCUCCUAAACGAAUACUGACACUGAGGUGCGAAAGCGUGGGGAGCAAACAGGGAUUAGAUACC